AGCAGCCGCGGUAAUUCCAGCUCCAAUAGCGUAUAUUAAAGUUGUUGCAGUUAAAAAGCUCGUAGUUGAAUUUCGGGAUCAAGGAAUCGGUCAUGCCUUGGUAUGUACUGGUUUUAUUGGUUCUCACCUUCUAAAGAACCAUAAUGUCAUUUAUUUGAUGUUAUGGGGAAUUAGGACUGUUACCUUGAAAAAAUUAGAGUGUUUAAAGCAAGCUUACGCUUGAAUACAUUAGCAUGGAAUAAUGAAAUAGGACAUCAGAUUCUAUUUUGUUGGUUUCUAGGAUCGAUGUAAUGAUUAAUAGGGAUAGUUGGGGGCAUUAGUAUUCAAUUGUCAGAGGUGAAAUUCUUGGAUUUAUUGAAGACUAACUACUGCGAAAGCAUUUGCCAAGGAUGUUUUCAUUAAUCAAGAACGAAAGUUAGGGGAUCGAAGACGAUCAGAUACCGUCGUAGUCUUAACCAUAAACUA
Molecule: ribosomal RNA, 465 nt
Filed under: uncultured Glomus
Lineage: Eukaryota; Fungi; Glomeromycota; Glomeromycetes; Glomerales; Glomeraceae
Description: SSU rRNA
Rfam family: Eukaryotic small subunit ribosomal RNA
Source: RNAcentral